CCUCCCUUCCUUCCUCCCUCACCUCUGCGACCUCCAUGUCCUCUAUUCCACCGGAGUGAGGGCGAUGGCGGUGGCUUGAGCCACACACCUUCCCCCUGCUCUCUCUUCCUCGCUGCGACCUCCAUGCAUCCGGAGAGGAGAGCAACAACGGCAACUUUCGGCAAGGUAGCUGGGGUCCUCAUGUGGAUCUCAACUUCUUCCUCUUUUUCCUCCCUCUAGACCAAGCUCUCCUCUACCUUCUCCUCGCCCUCGUCGUCCACCUCCUUCUACUCCUCAUCUGGAUUUGGAUCUAAGGGAUACGAUAAUGGCUAGGGUUUCGGUGAGCUCUCAGAUGCUGCAGCUUAAUAUUUCAGCUAUUUUUCCUUGUUGUUGGAACAAUACAUUCAAGAUGUUUCAACUUCAUCAUCACAAUCUCGGAGUUGUUAUCUAUUUUUGUUGUUGCAAUAUAUAUGUUCAUAGUGUUUCAACUGCUUCAACCCAUUGUUGCAGCAGUUCAUUCUAUGUUGUUGCAAUAACAUGAUCAUGGUGUUUCGAACAGCUUCAACCUGUUGUUGCAGUAACUUAUUCGGUGAUAUUGCAACAA
This is a long non-coding RNA of Sorghum bicolor (sorghum), 583 nucleotides long. RefSeq lists it as uncharacterized. The transcript is spliced from 2 exons. The record is from RefSeq and is a predicted model, not a curated record. Lineage: Eukaryota; Viridiplantae; Streptophyta; Magnoliopsida; Poales; Poaceae.